CCCUUAGAUGUUCUGGGCCGCACGCGCGCUACACUGAUGCAUUCAACGAGUUUCUUCCUGGUCCGAGAGGAAUGGGUAACCUUUUGAAAGUGCAUCGUGAUGGGGAUAGACUAUUGCAAUUAUUGGUCUUCAACGAGGAAUUCCUAGUAGACGUAGUUCAUCAGACUGCAUCGAUUACGUCCCUGCCCUUUGUACACACCGCCCGUCGCUCCUACCGAUUGAAUGCUCAGGUGAGCCAUUCGGACUUUCAUCAUGCUGGUUUCCAGUUUUGAUGAAGGAAAGUCUUGCGAACCUUAUCAUUUAGAGGAAGGUGAAGUCGUAACA
This 324-nucleotide ribosomal RNA is filed under the name uncultured eukaryote. Its description in RNAcentral is "partial 18S ribosomal RNA". It matches the Rfam family "Eukaryotic small subunit ribosomal RNA", at positions 1470 to 1796 of the family's 1831-position model. The record is from RNAcentral.